AUGCAAAUAGCAAUCAUUUAGAAGUUUCUGUACAACAGAUGCCAUAUGUGUUACAUUUUAUUUGAUCAUCAAAAUUGUCAUAGAUAUUAUUAUCCCCAUUUCAUAGAAGAAACUGAGAUUAUAUAAUUUGUUCAACUUGACCAACUUCUUAUAACUAAUACAUAGUAGAGAUAAGGUUGAAACCUCAUUAACCAACUUCUUAUAACUAAUACAUAGUAGAGAUAAGGUUGAAACCUCAUUAGGUUUGACUCCAGACCCCAGCCUCUUUUGAGUGCAUCAUAAAAGGCUUUGGUCUGCCCGUGGCCAGUAACAACUUUUACUAAAUUGAUUCUUUGCUUUUUAUCUGUAAAAGGAAGUUAUUCACCUAUUUUGAUGAUCCCCAAUGUUUUUAACAUCAAUAAAUGUGUCCACCACACAUGAUAGUUUUUAAUGUUUUGUUUCCAUGAUUACAGGAUUAAAAAACUAUUAAUUAGUGAUACUUUUAAUUUUGAUUUUAUUAAUUAAAACACAUCUGUCUACAUCUGAAGAAUAGCACUUGUGACAACAGCAUAGACGGCUUCAUUUUGAGGAGUAAAUUACAAUUGAACAUGACCAAAUAUACAUAGAGAAGGCGUGGACCACACAAAUGUGAUUGAAAGCUGGCGUGGAGUCAUCUUAAAUUGACUUUUUCCCAAAGGGCCCCUAAAAGAGGGUAGAAUCCCAACAGAUAGAGUCUAUGGAGAGAUAGACUGCUGAGACCCAUAUUAUGGUCAGUGAAGUGCAGGCAAGGAAGGGAUCCUUAGCAAAAUGGGGAGAGGAAUGGAUGGUCUGAAAAACCCUGAAGGAACUGAAACACUCUGCAAAGGAAAGAAGAACAAGUAUCAGCUUUGACCCCUGCCAGACCUAGGCAGCAACAACGGCAGCUCACAAAGCACCAGAACAAACGCGCUUUCUUGUGCCCCUACAUGUCUUCCCUUCACCGUCUUGAACCCUGGUGUCAUCAUAAACUGUCUGUAAGCGAAUAAGUGACAGAGCUCCUUGCUGCUCAAAUUUUAUGCCAGAUAAAAUAUUCACCUUCUCGGACUCCCUGGCACCAGGCAUGGCCAUGUAAUCCUACAGCACAGCUGAUGAAAGAGAAGACAUCUUGCUGCUAUUUGACAAGCAAGAAGAUAAAAGCUUUCCUAUAAAGAUGAUGGAGCAAAAAAAUAGAAGGGGCCUAGACUCCCUACCUUCACACUUCCUGCUAUAAAAGCAUUGCUAUUAUAAGGUUAAUCUGCAGAAACAGACUUCUAUGUCAUAUGCUUAAAUGCAUCAAAAUUCAUACAAUAUCCAUUAAAUUGGUAAAAGUAUCCAUUUUAAAGGAUUAAUCUGAGGGACCCACAGA
This 1363-nucleotide long non-coding RNA is filed under the name Homo sapiens (human). Its description in RNAcentral is "MAGI2 antisense RNA 3". Lineage: Eukaryota; Metazoa; Chordata; Mammalia; Primates; Hominidae. The record is from RNAcentral.